This 460-nucleotide ribosomal RNA is filed under the name uncultured bacterium. RNAcentral describes it as "partial 16S ribosomal RNA". It matches the Rfam family "Bacterial small subunit ribosomal RNA", at positions 338 to 795 of the family's 1533-position model. The record is from RNAcentral.
CCUACGGGAGGCAGCAGUGAGGAAUAUUGGUCAAUGGACGAGAGUCUGAACCAGCCAAGUAGCGUGAAGGAUGACUGCCCUAUGGGUUGUAAACUUCUUUUAUAAAGGAAUAAAACGAGGCACGUGUGCCUUUUUGCAUGUACUUUAUGAAUAAAGAUCGGCUAACUCCGUGCCAGCAGCCGCGGUAAUACGGAGGAUCCGAGCGUUAUCCGGAUUUAUUGGGUUUAAAGGGAGCGUAGAUGGGUUGUUAAGUCAGUUGUGAAAGUUUGCGGCUCAACCGUAAAAUUGCAAUUGAUACUGGCAGUCGUGAGUACAGUUGAGGUAGGCGGAAUUCGUGGUGUAGCGGUGAAAUGCUUAGAUAUCACGAAGAACCCCGAUUGCGAAGGCAGCUUACUAAACUGUGACUGACAUUGAUGCUCGAAAGUGUGGGUAUCAAACAGGAUUAGAUACCCCUGUAGUC